GGUGUUGCCACGAUAUAGUGUCUGGCAAUCCAUGACGUGAUUUCUAACACUAUUCCGAAGAAAAUAUAAAAAAAUUAGACUUUAUACUUUGCAGUAAGAUUUUUUACACCUUUAUUACUUUUUGUGUCCCAAAGCCACCAUGGUACAAACUUCGUAGUCGCUAAUCGUUCUAGACCCUGUGUUGGGGUCAAAACGCAGAGAAACUUUCAGCUUUUAAAAAAUAACGAAGGUCUGACACGCGCUGACUCUUAGUACAAAUAGUGUAAAUUAAAA
Maniola jurtina (meadow brown) is the source of this 273-nucleotide long non-coding RNA. RefSeq lists it as uncharacterized. NCBI's taxonomy places the organism in Eukaryota, Metazoa, Arthropoda, Insecta, Lepidoptera, Nymphalidae. The transcript is spliced from 3 exons. The record is from RefSeq and is a predicted model, not a curated record.